Molecule: ribosomal RNA, 434 nt
Filed under: Alexandrium margalefii
Lineage: Eukaryota; Dinophyceae; Gonyaulacales; Pyrocystaceae
Description: partial Eukaryotic large subunit ribosomal RNA
Rfam family: Eukaryotic large subunit ribosomal RNA
Source: RNAcentral
CUAACAGGGAACGUGAGCUGGGUUUAGACCGUCGUGAGACAGGUUAGUUUUACCCUACUGACGAAACGCUGUCGCAAUGGUAAUUCAGGUCAGUACGAGAGGAACUCCUGAUUCACAUAAUUGGCAUAGCUGUCGCCUGAAAAGACGAUGCAGCGAAGCUAACAUGUGCUUGGAAUAUGCCUGAACGCCUCUAAGGCAGAAUCCGCUCCAGAACGCGAGAGCUUUUUAGUCUGGCAACGGCAACAGACGUAUAGAAAUAGCCGCGCAAGCGGUCUGAAUCAUUUCACGGUGUGGCGGGGCGGCGGAAGCGCGCGCCUCGAAACCCGUCCAUGACAAUUUAAUGCUGGCCAGACACAAACCGCUCCAAGACGAGGGGACGCUGACCGCGUCGUGUAAGCGGCAGAGACAUCUUUGUUAUGUCGAUCCGCUAAGCG